UUUCAAGUGAAUUCAUUAGAGUCCUUUAGUUGCAAGUAAUAGAAACCAACUUGAAUUAACCUAUGCAAGAAAAAAAAAGUUUCCAGAAAACCUCUCUUUGGGGAGAUCCGAUCUCUUGCUUUUCUUGGCAACUUGAAGACUCCCUGCCUAGGAAAGGGAAGCUUUCCCUGUCUACCUCUGACUCCCAGCAGAUAUUCAGUGAUUGUGAUACUUCUGGCCAUGGCUCCUCAAAUACCCUCCUGCCAUAUACACCUGACUCCACCCAAGGGAUGAAGAAUCACAGGCCUGUGGUGUCACCAGGAAGAAGAUGCUGGAUGAGAGGGAGGCCCUAGUCCUUUGGUGUAUGUGUUGGUGCUCCUUCCUGUGAUUCCUGCUUCUGCCAUCUGACAAGGAAAAGGAAAAUCCAAUGGGUUCAGGAGACAUGGACACAGAGAGUUGGAUGAAGAUAUGAGAAGAGCUGGUGAGUGAGAAUUAAACAUACUAAAUAGGGUUGAGCUCUCAAAUUAGCUCUUAAUUCUCAGAAAUCUCUGUUGCCCUUCAGAGGAGGAAGUGGGCAGGCAUUUGGGCAAUGUGGUUGGGUACUCUUCUAUCACUAGUCACUUUCAAGAGAGAACAAAUGUAGCCGUGAGGUGAAAGGACAAGAAGAUAAGAGGUACCCAGGCUGGUGGAGGGAGUGAGGGAUACAAUAAAUGGGAAGAGGCUGGAAGAGUGGCCGAGGAAGGAAGAACGUUGAGCUGGGUGAGAAGGUGAGUCUUUCUGACUAAGAGAGGAACCAAGAACUCAGUUCAUUAUGGAAGGAUGUCUGUGCCCUAGAAAUCCAUCCUGGACGUGUGUCUAGGAAUCAUUGUUCUAGUGGGUCGUUA
RNAcentral lists this long non-coding RNA (863 nucleotides) under Equus asinus (donkey). RNAcentral describes it as "lncRNA (ENSEASG00005033134.1)". The record is from RNAcentral. Lineage: Eukaryota; Metazoa; Chordata; Mammalia; Perissodactyla; Equidae.